Molecule: ribosomal RNA, 269 nt
Filed under: uncultured bacterium
Lineage: Bacteria
Description: partial 16S ribosomal RNA
Rfam family: Bacterial small subunit ribosomal RNA
Source: RNAcentral
UUGGUGGCGACCGGCGGACGGGUGCGUAACGCGUAUGCAACCUGCCUGACACAGGGGGAUAAUCCGAAGAAAUUUGGUCUAAUACCCCAUAAUACCGAUAUAGGCGUCUAUGUUGGUUGAAAGCUUUGGUGGUGUCAGAUGGGCAUGCGUUGUAUUAGCUAGUUGGUGAGGUAACGGCUCACCAAGGCGACGAUACAUAGGGGGACUGAGAGGUUAACCCCCCACACUGGUACUGAGACACGGUCCAAACUCCUACGGGAGGCAGCAUG